AGAGUUUGAUCCUGGCUCAGAAUCAACGCUGGCGGCGUGCCUCAGACAUGCAAGUCGAACGAUUAAACUCUCCUUCGGGAGAGAUAUAAAGUGGCGCACGGGUGAGUAACACGUAGGUAAUCUACCUUUGAGUGGGGAAUAACAAUCGGAAACGAUUGCUAAUACCGCAUAAUGCAGCGGCAUCGCAAGAUGACAGUUGUUAAAGGAGCAAUUCGCUUAAAGAGGAGCCUGCGGCAGAUUAGCUAGUUGGUAAGGUAAUGGCUUACCAAGGCUACGAUCUGUAACCGACCUGAGAGGGUGGUCGGUCACACUGACACUGAAUAACGGGUCAGACUCCUACGGGAGGCAGCAGUCGGGAAUUUUGGGCAAUGGGCGAAAGCCUGACCCAGCAACGCCGCGUGAAGGACGAAGUCUUUCGGGAUGUAAACUUCGUAAGAAUAGGAAGAAUAAAUGACGGUACUAUUUGUAAGGUCCGGCUAACUACGUGCCAGCAGCCGCGGUAAUACGUAGGGACCAAGCGUUGUUCGGAUUUACUGGGCGUAAAGGGCGCGUAGGCGGCAAUUCAAGUCAGUUGUGAAAUCUCCGAGCUUAACUCGGAACGGUCAACUGAUACUGCUUUGCUAGAGUACAGAAGGGGCAAUCGGAAUUCUUGGUGUAGCGGUGAAAUGCAGAUAUCAAGAGGAACACCUGAGGUGAAGACGGGUUGCUGGGCUGAUACUGACGCUGAGGCGCGAAAGCUAGGGUAGCAAACGGGAUUAGAUACCCUAGUAGUCC
This 774-nucleotide ribosomal RNA is filed under the name uncultured bacterium. Its description in RNAcentral is "bacterial SSU rRNA". It matches the Rfam family "Bacterial small subunit ribosomal RNA", at positions 8 to 796 of the family's 1533-position model. The record is from RNAcentral.